UUGUCAAUAAAUAAAUGCAGAGGCUCCAGCAUGGCAGUGGGGAGCACAGACCACUGGCUACAUGAAGGUGAGAGAUCACCCUGCAACUUCCUCACUCCUCACCCCCAGAACACAGACUCAGUGGUAAGGCUGCACCUGACUCUGAAACAGCACAAGGCUUGGGCCUGCCCUAGAAAUACCCUAGGGCUCUGCCCCUUUAUGCCAGGCGCACCACGUGUGGGGCAGGCAGGCUCAACCAGGCAGGAUCCAAGUGUGGAGGGGGUUAGUGUGGGGAGAUCCAAGUAUGGGGUAUCUGGGUAUGGAUGGCUUGAUUUG
Molecule: non-coding RNA, 315 nt
Organism: Chelonoidis abingdonii (Abingdon island giant tortoise)
Lineage: Eukaryota; Metazoa; Chordata; Testudines; Testudinidae
Source: RefSeq, a predicted model, not a curated record